GACGAACGCUGGCGGCGUGCUUAACACAUGCCAGUCGAACGGAAAGGCCCUGCUUUUGUGGGGUGCUCGUGUGGCGAACGGGUGAGUAUAACGUGAGUAACCUGCCCUUGUCUUUCGGAUAACUUCACGAAACUGGGGCUAAUACCGGAUAGGAUCUCCUGCACCAUGGUGGGGGUUGGAAAGUUUCGGCUGUUGGGGAUGGACUCGCGGCGUACGAGCUAGUUGGUGGGGUAGGUGAUUACCCAGGCGUUCACGGGUAGCCGGCCUGAGAGGGUGAUCGGCCACCUUGGAACGUAGACACCGUCCAGACGCCUACGGGAGGCACCAGUCGCGAAUGGGCGGCAACGGGCGGAAGUCUUACACAGCGAGCCCGAGUGUGUGACGACGGCGCUGGGUUCGUAAUGCCCGGCUUUGGGUUAAGAACAGCUGUCGCCUGAGACGAAGCGGUCGUGACGGUACCGAAUCAAGAAGCACCGGCUAACUACGUG
RNAcentral lists this ribosomal RNA (488 nucleotides) under uncultured bacterium. RNAcentral's name for it is "partial 16S ribosomal RNA". It matches the Rfam family "Bacterial small subunit ribosomal RNA", at positions 28 to 507 of the family's 1533-position model. The record is from RNAcentral.